Long non-coding RNA from Malus domestica (apple), 391 nucleotides. RefSeq lists it as uncharacterized. The record is from RefSeq and is a predicted model, not a curated record. NCBI's taxonomy places the organism in Eukaryota, Viridiplantae, Streptophyta, Magnoliopsida, Rosales, Rosaceae.
AAACAAGUUGUCCCAAAUAGCCUCUUUUCUCUCCCUGUGAGAGUUCUUCCCUCUGUUUGAGGGUGCUUCUCACCAUAUUGUGUGAGUGAUUUCCCAAUCGUGCUUCCGUUUGGUGCCGCUGAUCUUAGUUGCGGUUGGGAUCGGUGGCGCUGUGGAUGUGAUGAUCGGCGGUGGACAGAGGAUUGGAUGGCUGGCUGCUUCUCAGAUCGACGGUGGAGAGCACAAUGGAUGUUUCUCGGAUGUUCGUUUUUGUUUGGUCUUCAUUGUUGUUGGGUUUUAUGUGUUUUCUUUGUCUUUAAGCCCAUUCUUUGUUUGUUUCUAGGAGUAAAUUGGGUCUUUGAUUUGUUUGUAAGUGUGUGUUUGUUUUAAUAAAAGCUCAUCGUUCGCGAUC